Molecule: non-coding RNA, 1194 nt
Organism: Misgurnus anguillicaudatus (oriental weatherfish)
Lineage: Eukaryota; Metazoa; Chordata; Actinopteri; Cypriniformes; Cobitidae
Source: RefSeq, a predicted model, not a curated record
UUCACCUUAUUCCGCCACGCCCCUUUUUAAUUCUUCGCUCUUCCGCAUUUUGUCAACCGACUUCCGCUGCUAAUAUGGCACAGUGCAUUCGGUGGUUAGUUUGGGGGUUAGAAGAUUGUUUGUAGUUCACUAUAACUUUAACCAAAUGACAAAUAUCGCUACUGCUGUUAAUGUUUUAAAUUAGGAGCACGGAGAAAACUUCAUAAGACGCUCGGAUAGUCUUAUAUCGUCCCAUCAAUCGUCUCGUGGUUAGACGAUAUGAAGCGGCCGCGGCAAGUAACCUGGCAUAUUUAAUUACCUCGUCCUGUCAGGAGUUGAUGGAUCAGCAUUGGAAAUUAUUAAAGUACUUAUGCCUACCAAUAUUUACACAGUGAUUUCGUCUUUUUUAAAGCAAAUGUGCACCUUAGCCAGUCCAAUAACUAUUUCGUUUUUAUGUGGUACCAUGAUAGAAUUCAUUUGCAAACUUGCCAACACUUAUUCCUUCAAAUCAGGAGACUUAAAUCCUUUUAAGUGGAAUCUACAAAGCUCACAUAUAGUUUAAGAAAUUCCUUACAGAUAAUAUCUGAUCACACUGUAAAGGUUUAUAUAACUGCAUGGCAGGUUACAUCUGAUCACAUAGUAAAUGUUUAAUAUAACUGCACAACAUCUGAUCAUAUUGUAAAGGUUUAAUAUAAUUGCACAACAUCUGAUCACACUGUAAAUGUUUAAUAUAACUGCACAACAUCUGAUCACAUUGUAAAGGUUUAAUAUAAUUGCACAACAUCUGAUCACAUUUUAAGGUUUAAUAUAAUUGCACAACAUCUGAUCACAUUGUAAAUGUUUAAUAUCACUGCAUCUGAUCACAUAUGAAGGUUUAAUGUAACUUUACAACAGGUAAAGCAAGACCACCCUGCAAUAAAUUAAGACACAGCUUUAUCGGAGUCAUCAGGAGCUGAUCCCAAGUGUUUAUCUGGAAGCUGUUGGUGUAUGUACUGGUAAAGUGCUUGGCGACUGUGUAAUGGAUGCAAUAUCAACCCUCUGUAAAGCUGAACCAAAGAUGGUUGUUUCUCAGCAGAGAUAUGUACAUUUGUGCCAGCUCAACACAUUGAAGCAGUUUCUCGGACAGGGUUUACAGGACUAGGAUUUAAUUAUAUUAGGACAUUUUAGUUUUUACAAACAAACCCUACAAAAAAACAAGACUGGUGCGCAUCUUGU